RNAcentral lists this ribosomal RNA (119 nucleotides) under Gossypium arboreum. Lineage: Eukaryota; Viridiplantae; Streptophyta; Magnoliopsida; Malvales; Malvaceae. The record is from RNAcentral.
GGAUGCGAUCAUACGGGCACUAAUGCAUCGGAUCCUAUUUGAACUCCGCAAUUAAGCGUGCUUGGGUGAGAGUAGUACUAGGAUGGUUGACCUCCUGGAAAGUUCUCGUGUUGCACCCC